CCUGACUGCUAUCGGAUUGAUACUAAGCCAUGCGAGUCUUUGUAGCAAUACAAGGCAGACGGCUCAGUAACACGUAGUCAAUCUACCCUAUGGACGGGGAUAACCUCGGGAAACUGAGAAUAAUACCCGACAGAUCAUUAUACCUGGAAUGGUUUAUGGUUUAAAUGAUUUUUCGCCGUAGGAUGGGACUGCGGUCUAUCAGCUUGUUGGUGAGGUAAUGGCCCACCAAGGCUAUAACAGAUACGGGCUCUGAGAGGAGAAGCCCGGAGAUGGGUACUGAGACACGGACCCAGGCCCUAUGGGGCGCAGCAGGCGAGAAAACUUUGCAAUGUGCGAAAGCACGACAAGGUUAAUCCGAGUGUUUUCUGCUAAAGAAAUCUUUUGUUAGUUCUAAAACCACUAUCGAAUAAGGGGUGGGCAAGUUCUGGUGUCAGCCGCCGCGGUAAAACCAGCACCUCAAGUGGUCAGGAGGAUUAUUGGGCCUAAAGCAUCCGUAGCCUGCUUUGUAAGUUUCCGGUUAAAUCCAUUAGCUUAACUGAUGGGCCGCCGGAAAAACUGCAAAGCUAGGGAGUGGGAGAGGUAGACGGUACUCGGUAGGAAGGGGUAAAAUCCUUUGAUCUAUGGAUGACCACCAGUGGCGAAGGCGGUCUACCAGAACGCGCUCGACGGUGAGGGAUGAAAGCUGGGGGAGCGAACCGGAUUAGAUACCCGGGUAGUCCCAGCUGUAAACUAUGCAAGCUAGGUGCUGGAGUGGCUGCGUGCUACUCCGGUGUCGCAGGGAAGCCGUUAAGCUUGCCGCCUGGGUAGUACGGUCGCAAGACUGAAACUUAAAGGAAUUGGCGGGGGAGCACCACAAGGGGUGGAGCCUGCGGUUC
Molecule: ribosomal RNA, 875 nt
Filed under: uncultured Candidatus Nitrosopumilus sp.
Lineage: Archaea; Thermoproteati; Nitrososphaerota; Nitrososphaeria; Nitrosopumilales; Nitrosopumilaceae
Description: bacterial SSU rRNA
Rfam family: Archaeal small subunit ribosomal RNA
Source: RNAcentral